ACGGCUCAGUAACACGUGGACAACCUACCCAAAGGUCUGGGAUAACUCCGGGAAACUGGGGAUAAUACCGGAUAGGUCAAGAGUACUGGAAGGGUUUUUUGAUUGAAAGCUCUGGCGCCUUUGGAUGGGUCUGCGGCUGAUUAGGUUGACGCCGGUGUAAAGUACCGGCGUGCCGAUUAUCAGUACGGGUUGUGGGAGCAAGAGCCCGGAGAUGGAUUCUGAGACACGAAUCCAGGCCCUACGGGGCGCAGCAGGCGCGAAAACUCUACAAUGCAGGCAACUGCGAUAGGGGAACAUCGAGUGGCAUCUACAUUAGGUGUCUGUCCAGCUGUCUAAAAAACGGCUGUUAGCAAGGGCCGGGCAAGACCGGUGCCAGCCGCCGCGGUAAUACCGGCGGCUCGAGUGGUGGCCGAUAUUAUUGAGUCUAAAGGGUCCGUAGCCGGCCUUGCAAGUCUUGUGGGAAAUCCAGCGGCUUAACCGUUGGGCGUCUGCGGGAUACUACAUUGCUUGGGACUGGGAGAGGUAGGAGGUACUCAGGGGGUAGGAGUGAAAUCCUGUAAUCCUCUGGGGACCACCGGUGGCGAAGGCGUCCUACCAGAACAGGUCCGACGGUGAGGGACGAAAGCUAGGGGCACGAACCGGAUUAGAUACCCGGGUAGUCCUAGCCGUAAACGAUGCCCGCUAGGUGUCACGGCAGUCGUGAACUGCCGUGGUGCCGUAGGGAAGCCGUGAAGCGGGCCACUUGGGAAGUACGACCGCAAGGUUGAAACUUAAAGGAAUUGGCGGGGGAGCAC
RNAcentral lists this ribosomal RNA (794 nucleotides) under uncultured archaeon. Its description in RNAcentral is "bacterial SSU rRNA". It matches the Rfam family "Archaeal small subunit ribosomal RNA", at positions 85 to 879 of the family's 1478-position model. The record is from RNAcentral.